CACUCCUACGGGAGGCAGCAGUGGGGAAUAUUGCACAAUGGGCGCAAGCCUGAUGCAGCCAUGCCGCGUGUAUGAAGAAGGCCUUCGGGUUGUAAAGUACUUUCAGCGGGGAGGAAGGCGAUAAGGUUAAUAACCUUGUCGAUUGACGUUACCCGCAGAAGAAGCACCGGCUAACUCCGUGCCAGCAGCCGCGGUAAUACGGAGGGUGCAAGCGUUAAUCGGAAUUACUGGGCGUAAAGCGCACGCAGGCGGUCUGUCAAGUCGGAUGUGAAAUCCCCGGGCUCAACCUGGGAACUGCAUUCGAAACUGGCAGGCUAGAGUCUUGUAGAGGGGGGUAGAAUUCCAGGUGUAGCGGUGAAAUGCGUAGAGAUCUGGAGGAAUACCGGUGGCGAAGGCGGCCCCCUGGACAAAGACUGACGCUCAGGUGCGAAAGCGUGGGGAGCAAACAGGAUUAGAUACCCUAGUAGUCCCAUGA
RNAcentral lists this ribosomal RNA (475 nucleotides) under uncultured organism. RNAcentral's name for it is "partial 16S ribosomal RNA". It matches the Rfam family "Bacterial small subunit ribosomal RNA", at positions 334 to 800 of the family's 1533-position model. The record is from RNAcentral.